UCCCUGGUGGUCCAGUGGUUAAGAUUCUGCUUUUCCAAUGCAGGGAGUGCAGGUUUGAUCCCUGGUCCAGGAA
RNAcentral lists this transfer RNA (73 nucleotides) under Bos taurus (domestic cattle). It matches the Rfam family "tRNA". Rfam says of the family: Transfer RNA (tRNA) molecules are approximately 80 nucleotides in length. Their secondary structure includes four short double-helical elements and three loops (D, anti-codon, and T loops). Lineage: Eukaryota; Metazoa; Chordata; Mammalia; Artiodactyla; Bovidae. RNAcentral also lists the same sequence under 2 other names. The record is from Rfam by way of RNAcentral.